AUAAUACUCCAUAGAUUAGAGAUACUGGAAUGUUCUUUAGUCAAAAGUUCCGGCGCCUUAGGAUGGAUCUGCGGUCGAUUAGGUUGUUGUUGGGGUAACGGCCCAACAAGCCUGUAAUCGAUACGGGUUGUGGGAGCAAUAGCCCGGAGAUGGAAUCUGAGACAAGAUUCCAGGCCCUACGGGGCGCAGCAGGCGCGAAAACUUUACAAUGCAGGAAACUGUGAUAAGGGAACCCCGAGUGCCCGUAUACGCAGGCUGUCCAGGUGUUUAAAAGUCAUCUGAAGAAAGGGCCGGGCAAGACCGGUGCCAGCCGCCGCGGUAAUACCGGCGGCUCGAGUGGUGGCCACUAUUAUUGGGCUUAAAGCGUCCGUAGCUGGACUGAUAAGUCUCUUGGGAAAUCCGCCGGCUCAACCGGCGGGCGUCUAAGGGAUACUGUUGGUCUAGGGACCGGGAGAGGUGAGAGGUACUCCGGGGGUAGGAGUGAAAUCCUGUAAUCCCCGGGGGACCACCGAUGGCGAAGGCAUCUCACCAGAACGGCUCCGACAGUGAGGGACGAAAGCUGGGGGAGCAAACCGGAUUAGAUACCCGGGUAGUCCCAGCCGUAAACUAUGCGCGUUAGGUGU
RNAcentral lists this ribosomal RNA (623 nucleotides) under uncultured archaeon. RNAcentral's name for it is "bacterial SSU rRNA". It matches the Rfam family "Archaeal small subunit ribosomal RNA", at positions 146 to 774 of the family's 1478-position model. The record is from RNAcentral.